Molecule: non-coding RNA, 114 nt
Organism: Takifugu rubripes (torafugu)
Lineage: Eukaryota; Metazoa; Chordata; Actinopteri; Tetraodontiformes; Tetraodontidae
Source: Rfam
GUUGGCUAUGGGGACAUGUACCCGGGGACGGUCGGAGGAAAGCUGGUGGGGUCCAUGUGCGCCAUCGCUGGUGUUCUAACCAUCUCGCUGCCGGUCCCCGUCAUCGUGUCGAAC